This is a long non-coding RNA of Malaclemys terrapin pileata, 925 nucleotides long. RefSeq lists it as uncharacterized. The transcript has 3 exons. The record is from RefSeq and is a predicted model, not a curated record. Lineage: Eukaryota; Metazoa; Chordata; Testudines; Emydidae.
GCCCCACUCAGCCCAGCAGCGGGAUGAACGGGACCCCGACAGGCAGCAGUGUGCCAUUAGUUGCCAACCCCUGUCCUACACCCACUGAGGUCGGUGAUAAAUCUCAAUUGACUUCUGCGCAUCUCCCGGAAGUGGCCGGCAUGUCCCUGCAGCCCCUGGACGCAGGGGUGAUCCACAGCUUCCAUUGGACAGGAACUGCAGCCAAUAGAAGCUGUGGGGGCAGCGUCUGCAGGCACGGGUGUGACAGUGUAUCCCAUAAGUCUUCAUGGGAAUAUGCUUAUGAAUAUAUAUAUGAUAUAACUGGAAUAUGUUUUAUGCUACAUAUGCCAUGUAACACAUCUAUGUUAUGAUCUACGGAAUACAUUCCUCCUAUUUGUAUGCAUGUAUCAUUUUUGUACUUGAAGUUAGUAAUAUGGCUGUAUACUUGUUUGAUUUCUAUUGAAAAAGGAAUGUGCAAAUUAAAUGCCCAAUCAAGAACCACUUAAGCCAGCAAUGAACUUUAAGAUGCCAAUCCACAUCGGAGCUUUCCCAGGAAUGUGGCUUGACUGGUUAGAAACUCAAUCAUGCGACUUGCCCAUGUGACUCCAUCUUGGAGCUGGACUUUGCAUAGGAGAGAGGAGGGGGGUCUCCCCCCACAAGAGAAAGUCUAUUUAAACUUGUGGGAGACCCCUCCAUUUGGUCUUCAGCUGGCUAAAGAGAGAGCCUCUCCACCCCAAGGAUACCUGAAAGAGACUGGAACAAAGUGAACACAACUCCUGAAGGAAGAGCAGCUUUUGCAUUAAUUCUACAAUCACAUACUGCUGUAUAAAUCAAGUGCAAAUCCACGGAUGUAAAACCAAUGUAAUGGAAACUGUGUCUGAACCAUGUGGAAUCUUCCCAGGAUCAGAUCUGUAAAUCAAGAAUGCAAAUCAAGGAAGGUUUUUUG